Molecule: RNA transcript, 4379 nt
Organism: Cygnus atratus (black swan)
Lineage: Eukaryota; Metazoa; Chordata; Aves; Anseriformes; Anatidae
Gene: PPP1R2
Gene name: protein phosphatase 1 regulatory inhibitor subunit 2
Exons: 8
Source: RefSeq, a predicted model, not a curated record
CGCGGCGCGGUGCGGCGGGGCGGUGCCGCGGCGCGGGCCGGAGGCGGGCGGCUCGGCCAUGGAGGCGCCCUCGGUGUCCUCGGUGCCGGCCGCCUCCGCCUCGGGGGCGCCGGCGGGGCGGGGGCCCAUCAAGGGCAUCCUGAAGAAGGGCGGCGGGAAGGCGGCGGGGGACAGCGCGGCCCCCGGGGCGAGGCGGGCCAGUCCGGCCCGCGACGACGACGAGCACGGAAAAAAAUCCCAGAAGUGGGAUGAAAUGAACAUCAUAGCUACAUACCACCCAGCAGGCAAAGAUUAUGGCUUGAUGAAAAUAGAUGAACCUAGUACUCCGUAUCACAGCAUGGUAGGAGAUGACGAUGAAGAUGCAGUGAGUGAUUCAGAAUCAAAUGAGCCCUUAAAAGCAGAUGUGUUGAGUAAAAAACUGGCAGCUGCAGCUGAAGGUAGGGGACCUAAGAUUAUAGCAAGGCUAGAGGAAAGCAGUGAGGAGGAGGAUGAGGAUGAAGAAUUAACACCUGAAGAACGAGAAAAGAAGAAGCAGUUUGAAAUGAAGAGAAAAAUGCACUACAAUGAAGGACGAAACAUCAAACUGGCAAGACAGCUCAUCGCAAAAGAACUACCUGCUGAAGAUGAUGAAGAGAUGUGUGAUGCUGCAGAUGUAGAAACGAUGAAUACAGAAGCUACUGAACAUGAACUUCACUCUCCAGGGGAAAGGAGGGCUCCAAUAGGCAACCUUAGGACCUUUCUCCAUGGCUUGAAGCUGCCAUCUCUCUGCACUCUGCUGUAAAACAGAGGCAACUCCGCUCCCCAGCUGCAUUCUCCAGUGGACAGAAGGCACACCUUUGCAGCAUUUUUCCAUCUCUAUUGUUGAAGUCCAUUCCACCUUGCCUCAUAACCAGCUUCUGAACCACAACUGAAUGAGAUUUCUUGCUGAUUGAAAUGAAGAUCACCAGUCCAGUCAGUAAUGCACAUGCUACUCAAGACCAGCUGGAAGGUAGAGCACGCAGCGUAGAAGAAAUCUGUCCAGAACUGUAACUGCUUGUCAAAGACACAAAUAUAAACACUGCUUCAUGAUUUUUGCAAUUAAGGCUCUUAUAUAUUGAGAAGCAUAUCAGUUACAAUGUUGUAUUGCCAAGAAUGUUAAUUUUAGACUUGUCCAUUAGGCAGAAAAAAAACUGUCUAAUUGAUUUAUUCUUGUGCCUAGUAUUUCAUGGAGAAUACUGCUUUAUUAUCUGUUCAACCAGAUGGCAUUCCCUGUAUGUAUAAUGCUGAUUAUCUUGCGUAAUGUACUGUUACUCUUCAUGCUUUGAAACACAGACACUAUCUCUGUUUUUUCACUAUUUAUUUGACAGUGCUCUAGGUGUGGUAUCCCUUAUGGAGGGGUUUAGGAUUCAAGAGCUAAACGGUACAGCAUAUAUCAGAUUGACACGCAAGCUAUUUAUCAGAUGUGUUAAGCAGUAUAAAAAGGGAUUAUACAAGUUUUAGAACUUCUUAAAAACAAUUUUGACCUCUUAAUCUAGAUUUCAGUGUAUUAUUACCUGUACUUCCUCAAUCUCAAGAAGAAAAGCUGUAUUUUUCAGACCAGUAUUUGGAAUCAGUUAUUUGCUUCUGACUAAGGCAGUGCUAACAUCUGGCGGAGGGAGUGUUUUACACUGGAAGCGUGCUAACUUGAACUUUGAAUUUAACUCAUUUUCUCUUCCACUGGAUGUUUUUUUGGAGCUCUCGGUUUAUCUUGAGAACAUGAAAGUUCCCUCUGACUUUUCUCUUAAAACGACAUCAACUGUUAUUCUUAUGGCUCUUGCUUCAAGCUUUUGAUCCUUUCCAGUUGCGUGAUGAGUUGUGCUUACAAGCACCUGAAGAAAAACACCCAUCCAUAAGGAAAAUCCACAUCAGGACUGUGAAGAUGGGCUGAGUUUAGGCUCUGUCUGUUCUUUAUGUGAAGAUAACUGCUGGUGUUCUGCUUGUUUGGGGUUUGUAACCUGCAUACUGAAAACCACUGGUCUAAAUCUUUCUGCAUCCAAGUAAGUUACUUACAGCAGCUGCUUUUGCAAAAUGAAAGCUGUUUGGAAGAUUAGAAAGGAAACUGCCUAAUUCAGAUACGUUGUUUACGAUGUGGUUGUGUAGCCCUUGUAAAGAGGGAUUCUGAACCUCCACAUUGCUGUAAACAACUUCCCACUCGAUGGAAUUUGACUAGUGAAUGUUCUAGUAUUCAAAAUAGUUCCUGGGUUUUAUUACAGCAAUGAAGUAUACACUUAAGCUUUAGCUUGAUUAUGGAAUACAGUGUAUAUCUUAAUUUUGGUCUGAAUUUGAUAUGUUGCAAAAAUCCAUAUAAUUAUAUGGAUCUAUUUUAAAAUGUCUCUUUGUCCACUGUAUAUGUGAAGUUUGAAUAAAGGAAUGAAAGUUAUUUUACAGUUACCUGCAUUCUCAAGUGUGAGCUUUCAUGAAAUCCCAGAGAGAGUGAGAGUGAAUAAAGCAGUAGAAUGCUGUCACUUGCAAGGUUUACACAGGAAUAACAACUAGAAUGGGUGUAUUGCCAAAGAUAUCUGUGAGCUUCGCUAAAUGGUGUGCCUUUCCUAAAUAUCUCCUCCUUAUAGACAACAUGGUUGUCAGUUGUCGGAUACUUGAUCUCUUAAGGGCCUGAAUUAAAAUCAGUAUUGUCUUUUCACAAGAAAAAGUUGAACUCCUGGUUUGGUCCAGUGUGAUGAUGCUACUUUUGCAGUAUGGAGAUUGCUGCUUCUUGUGUCAAAAAUUUUGUAUCAAUUUCUGUAGGUAUGCAGGGGCAAAGAGUAAGCAAUUAGAUGCUUGUGACUCCUAAAGUCUCUUACUGUAGCUUUAAACUUGGCUCUCAAAGUGUUUCAAAAUUUAAACUCUUUAUGUAUUAGCUUUGAGAGUUCAGAUUGUUGGUAUGUGCAAAGCUCUUUGCAGACCAGCCUGCAUUUCAGAUGGUCUGCCCUGGCUAAGGCACAAAGUCCUAAUGAGAGAGUAGUGGCACUUGGCAAAGCUGCGUGGCUUUUGGAUUGGAGCUUGGGAGGGUCAAGAUUUGACCAAUGCGUGUGGGUAACACAGUUGUCUUAUGUGAUGCUUUAAAACGGAUUACUCUUAAUUUGUGAUAAAGUAUCCAUAAUUAAAGCAGAAACCAUCAGAAAGCUCUUGUGUGAGCUAAUGCCCUGCCUUCUUCCCCACCACAAUUCUUGUGCCCAAGACUUUGUUUUUAUUUUAGUGCUCGGUGUGAGUUCUUUAUAGCCUACAAUGCUUGCAAAGCAUUUAAUUUAACAAACAAACCCCCCUCCUUUGUUAACUUUCAGUCAAGUUCUUUCCUGUAACAAUUUCCAAAAUCCUAGAUGAACUGGGUAUGUAUCCUUGAGGAAGGUAGAGUGCACAUAAGUACAUGAAGGUAGUUUUAAAUGAAUCUCAGAAUGUAUAGGUUCCCUUCAUCUUUCAGAUCUUAAGCAGUCUGGGUGAUCUCUCUUCUUCUGUGCAACCAAGUCCCCAGGUUUCAGUUAGAUGCAGUUUGGAUAGGAACUUCUAUUGGUUUUAGUGAUGUCUUUUAGUAAAGGUUUGUUGUCCUCCUCACUUUCUUCAGUGCUAGCAAAAAUUCUCUUCGCACUUCGUAUGACUCACCUGGACUGCAACCCAAUGUGCCUGACGCUGCUUCUAGAUGAGAGGCUGGUUCACUUGAUUUCUAUCCAGGCUUAACCCUUCAUGUAUUUUAAAGGCUAAAAUAGAUAAGUUUACUUUGCAGUUACUGCAGAUCUUCUUAAUAGCUAUUUUGGUUUGUUUUUAGAGGAAUGUCUGAUUUCCUUCUAUUUUGGAAAUAUUAAUUAUAGCUCCCUGCUGAGUAGAGACAAAAGAGAGGACAUGCCUUUCUUCUUUCAUUUGCAUGCAGGUUUUAAUCUUGUGGUGAUAGGGUAACAGCUCAUUUGUAGUGUAAAGAGCGGUGUAAAGAGGAAACAAAACACACGCAGCCCUCACCAAUGUGGAAAUGGACAUCCACAGCAUCGGAAUUGCAGUGUUUCUCACACAGAUUUAUUUAAGUCCUCAAGUUCCAUCCUGGUUAGGGAAUAUAUUUCCAGAAUGCUUCCAGUAGGAAGAUCACUUGCAAAUAACAGCCUUAACCCUGUGCUUAAGGCUUUUUUGUCCUUGAAGGUUUUUUGGUGGUUUGUUUUUGUUUUGUUUUGCUUUACACUGAGUUGGGCACUUAGUGUGCCCAAAUCUUUUUUCUGCAACUGUCUCUGGUGUUGAACUCGUGUAUCUCACAGGAAUUCUUUGUUUCUGUAACGUGCUUUUUUGUGGUCUGUAUUACGAAACCACCUCACAACUGUAACUAUUCUGUUUGAAAACAGUGUUAAGUGUCACCAAAUAAAUAAAUGUCCUUGGUUUCCGUA